This 61-nucleotide transfer RNA is filed under the name Prosthogonimus cuneatus. RNAcentral describes it as "tRNA-Phe". The record is from RNAcentral. Lineage: Eukaryota; Metazoa; Platyhelminthes; Trematoda; Plagiorchiida; Prosthogonimidae.
UCUUCUCUAGCUUAAUUUAGAGCAUUAGUUUGAAGAGCUGAGGGUACUUUUGUGGGGGGAU